Molecule: non-coding RNA, 3776 nt
Organism: Rattus norvegicus (Norway rat)
Lineage: Eukaryota; Metazoa; Chordata; Mammalia; Rodentia; Muridae
Source: RefSeq, a predicted model, not a curated record
GUUCCUACCUCCAACUGGGUGGGCAUUGCUGGGACAGGGCGGGAAUGACAAGAGGCAGAGCAGGGCAGAUACCUUGGUCCUGGGGACAGAUUCCGUCUGCAGGCAGCCAAGUAUCCCCUGAUGGGUUUUUUGCAGGAUCAGAUUAGCCGAGGCUCAGGACAGCCCUCUCCCAGUGUCACUCAAAGCUGCUAAAUCAGUAUGCUUCUAUCAGAGCAGUGCUUGACCUCGGUGUGUAUGUGAGCUGCUGUCCCUUUCAGAACCCGGACAUUGAUUGCGCUUCUGUGCCUCUCCUUAGAAGCGAAGCCAAAAUCUGUAUGUGCCGAGGGUGAUGUGCCGUCACACGGUGGUGACCUCGAGAGCCCAGUGUGCUGGUCACACUUGUGUAUGGGUUCCCUUAGCGGUACUUGGCUUUGGAGGUAUUUGUGGUGGUGUUGGGGCAGUCUCUCUGUGUCUCUGGUCUCAGUUUCCUUUUGGGGUGGCAAUGCUGUCUGCCUCAUAGGGUGCCUCAUGGGAGCCAUUGUCCCUUUCAGAAUGUGAGCAUUCUAGUCCUGUGACUCUGUCCUUAGAAGCAAAGCCAAAAGCUGCGUGCUUGACAGAGUCUCAUGCAGUUGUCAGGGAGCAUAGUGUCCUUAAUCCCAGGUACAGGGGACCAACUGAUCAGUAACCAACCAUCAUACCUCAGACGAGAGGGCUGCAGAGCUGCUAAAAAUAGUGACUGUGGUUGGGACACACUGAUGCCCCAGCAAGGGGCAACUUGUAGCACACAAGUGUCUGUAAUUCCCUGACAGGGACAAUGGAAACAGUUGAGCUCAGCUCAAGCCAGGUGGAAGGUGAGAGCUGGCAUCUGAGGUUGUCCAUUGACCUCCAUGUUUGCCAUGGCGUGCAUGUGCCCUCAUUCACAUACAUGAGUGUCCGUAUGCACGUGCAUGAUUCACGCGUACAUGUGCAUCUUAUACACCCACACAGGUAGUAAUUGUAACCACUGAACAAGGUGCUGUUUUCAGUUGAAGUCAGGCGUGUGAACAGGGCAGGCUUACAGCAGUGGUGAGGUGUGAACAGGGCAGGCCUACAGCAGUGUGAGGUGUGAACAGGGCAGGCCUACAGCAGUGUGAGGUGUGAACAGGGCAGGCCUACAGCAGUGUGAGGUGUGAACAGGGCAGGCUUACAGCAGUGUGAGGUGUGAACAGGGCAGGCUUACAGCAGUGUGAGGUGUGAACAGGGCAGGCUUACAGCAGUGUGAGGUGUGAACAGGGCAGGCUUACAGCAGUGUGAGGUGUGAACAGGGCAGGCUUACAGCAGUGGUGAGGUGUGAACAGGGCAGGCUUACAGCAGUGUGAGGUGUGAACAGGACAGGCUUACAGCAGUGUGAGGUGUGAACAGGGCAGGCUUACAGCAGUGUGAGGUGUGAACAGGGCAGGCUUACAGCAGUGUGAGGUGUGAACAGGGCAGGCUUACAGCAGUGGUGAGGUGUGAACAGGGCAGGCUUACAGCAGUGUGAGGUGUGAACAGGGCAGGCUUACAGCAGUGGUGAGGUGUGAACAGGACAGGCUUACAGCAGUUGUGAGGUGUGAACAGGGCAGGCUUACAGCAGUGUGAGGUGUGAACAGGGCAGGCUUACAGCAGUGUGAGGUGUGAACAGGGCAGGCUUACAGCAGUGUGAGGUGUGAACAGGGCAGGCUUACAGCAGUGUGAGGUGUGAACAGGGCAGGCUUACAGUGGUGAUGUGCAGGUAGGACUGCUGGUCUUGUUCAUUUAUUAUUGGGUUCUGGGUCACUCGAUCCUGUCACUUUUUACUGGGUCCCAGGACUGGUGCUGGCAGGCGACCUGGAUGAGGAGGUAGACAUCUUAGCUGCACCAGUUGUCAUAGCCACCCAGCAGCACCUGGCUCCUGGCUCUGCCAGAAUAGCCAAUCUGGGCAGAAGUUGGCAAGUCAGCUGAGUGCUGCUUCACUGCAAGCUGAGGAAGGGUGGUGUAUGCCAGGGUGGGGCCCUGUCACCCACCCCUCUGCUCUUGAGUUCUUGUGGGAGAAUGACUGAGUGUCUGGCCCAGUAGUGAAGCGGGAGAGGUGCUGGCAGAACACACAGGCCACCCUCAGUGGCUGGAGUGUUGUUCAGGGGCCCACUGCUCCUUUUCUUCUGGCUACCAGACCAUUGCAUUUCACCUUGAAUACUGAGUUCUAACCGCCUGGUUUGUGCUGACUUUCCAACCAGACUGGAAGCUUCUGGAAAUGCUAAAUCUCUGGCAGGGUACGGCCUCUGCAGUGCUCACUGUGCUUAUUGACUUUUCUGUUUCUUCUUUCUUUUAAGAGAGAGAGAGAGAGAGAUACAGACAGACAGAUAGACAGACACUGGUCUUGUAGGCCAGGCUGACCUUGAAUUCACCUGGCUUAUAAAUGUUUUGAUCGUGCUUCUGGCCCAGAGAUUUUUUUUUGGGGGGGGGUUGUUUUUGUUUUUUUCUGUUGUUGUUUUUCUUGAGACAAUGUUUUCUCUGCGUAGCCCUGGCUAUCCUGGAACUCACUCUGUAGACCAGACUGGUCUCAAACUCAGAGAUCCACCUGCCUCUGCCUCCUGAGUGCUGGGUUGAGGGUGUGCCCCACCACUCAGUUGUUUUAACAAAAAGGAAAUGGGUGUAAAUGAAAAUGCCGCAGGGGUCUGGAGAAGUGGCUCAGUGGUCAGAGCACUUGUUGCUCUUGCAGAGGACCUGAGUUCAAUUCCCAGCCACAACUGACUCCAAUGCCCCACACCUCCUCCUGGCCUCCUGUGCACUGAAUGUAUGUGGUACACAGACAUGCAUGCAGGCGGAACGGCCUUACACAUGAGAAAAGUAGAGGUGUGUAGGGGUUUUUUUUGUUUUUUUUUUCUUUUCUUUUUUUUCGGAGCUGGGGACCAAACCCAGGGCCUUGCGCUUGCCAGGCAAGUGCUCUACCACUGAGCUAAAUCCCCAACCCCGUGUGUAGGGGUUUUGUUUGUUUUUUGAAAAGGGCUCGGGAUCUUUGGUCUGUUAACUCUGCCCAAUCUCUUCAUGGCUACAGUGACUGCUAAGGUCAGCUUUGGGUCCCCUGUGCUGCUAUAGAAGGGUCUGUGACAGUCCCACCCUCUGCUUUAGGGAAGCUCAAGACAGUGUCCAAAGAGCAGCAGGGUCCACUUUGAGAGCAGGCUGUCACUGGGUACAGCCAUGUCGUGGUCAGUGUGCCGAGAGGUGCAGCAUGGUGGAGUUAGGGGUCAAAGGGAUGAGAGGACCAGAGUUGGAUCCGAGGCUGGAUUUGGUGGAGAGAGAGCAGUGCUGUCCCCAGGCUCACGUGAGGUUGGGAGAGGGGUGAGCAGAGAGCUUGUGUCUGCAGUGGAGACCUAAGCUGGGAGGCUGCGUCCUCAGCCUGGAGAGCCAGGCUGAUUGACAGACUGGCUCAGGGAAGGUGGACGGGCUGAGCUUUAGAGCAGGGAAGUUGUGAUCCUGCUGACAGCUGAGAAGAAACCGGGACAGGAGGCUAAGCAACGCUGAACUCAGGAUGGGGCAUUCCAGACGGUGGAGGUUGUAGAAAGGAAGGACGAGGUUUUGGUGAGGAUCCCAAAUAGAGCGUAGGGGUCUGGGUAGGGAGGGCAUGGCUCUGGCGUCUGGCUUCCUCAGACCUUGGGGUAUUAUCCUUCAAAUCAUAAUGAGCUAUUGAAAAGCUAUCUUUGGGGGCUGGGGAUUUAGCUCAGUGGUUAGAGCGCUUACCUAGGAAGCGCAAGGCCCUGGGUUCGGUCCCCAGCUCCGAAAAAAAAAAAAAAAAAAAGAAC